Molecule: small nuclear RNA, 108 nt
Organism: Salvia splendens (bonfire salvia)
Lineage: Eukaryota; Viridiplantae; Streptophyta; Magnoliopsida; Lamiales; Lamiaceae
Source: RefSeq, a predicted model, not a curated record
GGUUGAGUCCAUUUGCAAACAUCCAAGAAAAUCAGAACGAUAUAGAGAAGAUUAGCAUGACUCACAAAAAUAAUGACAUGUAUAAAUCAAGAAUGAUAACUCAUAUUU